AGUGAUGUGGAAUACACCGAGGCGAUGCGAUAUCGCAGGACGAUCAGGGAUCAUCACACUACACUGCUACGAAGUUAUGUUCGAAGAUGUGGCUAGCCGUGGACACAUUCCUGAGACCAAGUAUAUCGAACUGACAAUUGGAUCCACGCAAACCGCUGUCUGCUUCCCCAUCGCAGCUAGACUUCUACGUAGAUGAGCAGGGUGGUGAUACGCAGGUUCUCACAUUGAUCAAUGCCAGCCAACACCCGUUGUGCUUUCAGUUUACGCCGAAAGAGCUGGGGCGGUACAUUGUCAUAGUGCGAGCAGGGAUCAUCUCACCACACUGCUACGACGACAUGUUUGAGGAGGCGGCUGGCGGUGAAGACAUUCCUGAGACCAAGUAUAUCGAACAGGAAUCGGAUCCACACAAACCGGUGUCUGUCUCCCCAUUGCAGCUAGACUUCUACGUAGAUGAGUGGGGUGCCGAUACGAAGAUGCUCACCUUGUUCGAUGUUAGUCAACAUCCGGUGCACAUCCAGUAUUGGUGCAUUACUUUGAUCUGUAUGAAGAAAUUGUGGGCACCGGAGUCAACGUACGCGUAGCCAUGCGCAAGCAAAGGGGCCACAACCUUGGGUUCAGAGAUGUGCCUGUGAUUCUAUGGUCAAAGCGCACAAUCUCUGAUGAUGGCAGCGAACAGAACGAUGGAGGAGACUACACU
Rhipicephalus microplus (southern cattle tick) is the source of this 697-nucleotide long non-coding RNA. NCBI's taxonomy places the organism in Eukaryota, Metazoa, Arthropoda, Arachnida, Ixodida, Ixodidae. The record is from RefSeq and is a predicted model, not a curated record.